RNAcentral lists this ribosomal RNA (492 nucleotides) under uncultured bacterium. RNAcentral's name for it is "partial 16S ribosomal RNA". It matches the Rfam family "Bacterial small subunit ribosomal RNA", at positions 29 to 507 of the family's 1533-position model. The record is from RNAcentral.
AGUGAACGCUGGCGGUAGGCCUAACACAUGCAAGUCGAACGGCAGCACAGUAAGAGCUUGCUCUUACGGGUGGCGAGUGGCGGACGGGUGAGGAAUACAUCGGAAUCUACUUUUUCGUGGGGGGUAACGUAGGGAAACUUACGCUAAUACCGCAUACGACCUACGGGUGAAAGCAGGGGAUCUUCGGACCUUGCGCGAUUGAAUGAGCCGAUGUCGGAUUAGCUAGUUGGCGGGGUAAAGGCCCACCAAGGCGACGAUCCGUAGCUGGUCUGAGAGGAUGAUCAGCCACACUGGAACUGAGACACGGUCCAGACUCCUACGGGAGGCAGCAGUGGGGAAUAUUGGACGAUGGGCGCAAGCCUGAUCCAGCCAUACCGCGUGGGUGAAGAAGGCCUUCGGGUUGUAAAGCCCUUUUGUUGGGAAAGAAAAGCAGCAGGUUAAUACCCCGCUGUUCUGACGGUACCCAAAGAAUAAGCACCGGCUAACUUCGUG